UACGGAGGGUGCAAGCGUUGUUCGGAUUUAUUGGGCGUAAAGGGCGUGUAGGCGGUUCGUUAAGUCUGAUGUGAAAGCCCCGGGCUCAACCUGGGAAGUGCAUUGGAAACUGGCGAACUUGAGUACGGGAGAGGGCAGUGGAAUUCCUAGUGUAGGAGUGAAAUCCGUAGAUAUUAGGAGGAACACCGGUGGCGAAGGCGGCUGCCUGGACCGAUACUGACGCUGAGACGCGAAAGCGUGGGGAGCAAACAGG
This 253-nucleotide ribosomal RNA is filed under the name uncultured Geobacter sp. RNAcentral describes it as "partial 16S ribosomal RNA". It matches the Rfam family "Bacterial small subunit ribosomal RNA", at positions 524 to 776 of the family's 1533-position model. The record is from RNAcentral. Lineage: Bacteria; Pseudomonadati; Thermodesulfobacteriota; Desulfuromonadia; Geobacterales; Geobacteraceae.